GAGCAAGAAAAUCUCCAUAACAAGAGAGAGAAACCAAUCUUUUCAGUGAGUGAGCUAAGAUAAGAAAAAUGUCAAAAGAAGUGAGUGAAGAAGGAAGACAUGGCAAAGACUACGUUGAUCCACCUCCAGCUCCACUCCUAGACAUGGCUGAGAUUAAGCUCUGGUCUUUCUACAGAGCUAUCAUCGCAGAGUUCAUCGCCACUCUCCUCUUCCUCUACGUGACCGUAGCUACAGUCAUUGGCCACAAGAACCAAAACGGUCCUUGUGACGGUGUUGGUUUACUCGGCAUUGCAUGGGCCUUUGGUGGCAUGAUCUUUGUCCUCGUUUAUUGCACCGCCGGUAUCUCCGGAGGUCAUAUUAAUCCAGCAGUGACAUUUGGUCUGUUCUUGGCUCGUAAAGUGUCGCUCCCUAGAGCAGUUGCUUACAUGGUGGCUCAGUGUCUUGGAGCCAUUUGUGGAGUUGGACUCGUUAAAGCCUUUAUGAUGACUCCAUACAAACGUCUAGGUGGUGGAGCUAACACCGUAGCUGAUGAUUAUAGCACCGGAACUGCUCUUGGUGCUGAGAUUAUUGGCACAUUUGUCUUGGUCUACACUGUCUUCUCUGCCACUGACCCCAAAAGAAGCGCGCGUGACUCUCACGUCCCGGUUUUGGCUCCGUUACCUAUUGGGUUUGCUGUGUUUAUGGUGCAUUUGGCUACUAUCCCCAUCACUGGAACUGGAAUUAAUCCAGCUAGAAGCUUUGGUGCUGCUGUUAUCUACAACAAUGAGAAAGCUUGGGACGACCAUUGGAUCUUUUGGGUUGGACCGUUCUUGGGAGCAUUGGCAGCAGCAGCAUACCAUCAAUACAUCUUGAGAGCUGCAGCAAUCAAAGCCUUGGCUUCAUUCCGCAGCAACCCAACCAAUUGAUGAUGCAUGAGCUUAUUAACAAUUUGAGCUCUGUUUUGUGUGCUUAGUGAGAGAUAUUUGUGUGUUUUAAUUUGGUGUUAUCGGAUUUAUUCAUUUUCAAUAGUUUAGUUUGGUUUAAUUCAUCUUUGUACCGUUGCUUUCUUUCAUGUAGGACAUCUUAUGAUUUACUUUUAUAUUACAGUCCGAAUUAAAACAUUUGUUAAAACU
Arabidopsis lyrata subsp. lyrata is the source of this 1112-nucleotide RNA transcript. It is a transcript of the gene named probable aquaporin PIP2-8, with no coding region annotated. The record is from RefSeq and is a predicted model, not a curated record. NCBI's taxonomy places the organism in Eukaryota, Viridiplantae, Streptophyta, Magnoliopsida, Brassicales, Brassicaceae. The transcript is spliced from 5 exons.